Molecule: small nuclear RNA, 107 nt
Organism: Suncus etruscus (white-toothed pygmy shrew)
Lineage: Eukaryota; Metazoa; Chordata; Mammalia; Eulipotyphla; Soricidae
Source: RefSeq, a predicted model, not a curated record
AUGCUCGCUCUGGCAGCACAUCUACUAAAAUUGGAGCUAUACAGAGAAGAUUAGCAUGGGCCCUGUGCAAAGAUGACACGUAAAUUCAUGAAGCAUUCCAUAUUUUU